GUCCACUACCAUACUGUCUUCACUGCGGAGGUAACGUUUCCAACUUUCUACAGCUUUCUGGCUGUCCCUGUUUGAAAGAAAAUUGUAUUAAUUAUAGGCAACAAAUUAAAUGGGACUGGAAGUAUAGAUAGAUACCAAUGACGGUCUACUCACGUGAACAUCUCAGGAAUAUCCGUGUGUAUUGGCUGUGGCUUCACCGUCACCCUGUUCACAUCCUCGUGCAGUCCUUCCAGCAAGUAUCUGAGAAACUCUUGAGCGUCUUGUUGGCUGUAUCCCAUGAAACGUGGCGCGAAUCUCUGGAUCUGAGACUUGAGCGCCGUCGUGUUCACCACGUGGUCACCGCCCACCUCCCACAACUCGUGGAUCACCUGGCUGAACGCUUUGAUGAGGGCGCCCUUCAUGCUGGACGUAGUGGUAUUUAUGUCCGCCAUGUGCUGCUCGUUCAGUAAGUAUUCCAGCAGCGGUCUCGUAUUGCUCAGGCAUUGGAUCACGCUGUUCAUAAAACACUGUAACAACAAAUGACUAUAAACAAGUGUUUUACACUCUACUUGGCUAUCUUUUCUCGCCAAACUAAGCGACGAUACCGUAGGUAUCAUUAGGUAGAAUAGAUUCUAAAUUCAAAUGGGAAUUUUACAUAUUUCAGUGACUCCAAUGAAUCGAAGGAAAUCCUGCGAGCCUUCUAAAUCCUUUUCUACGAGUCUUAACCGCUUAAGGCUGAAGUACAUAUAUAUGUAAACAGGAAACAUACAAAUGAGGGGAAAGUUUAUAAGAAAAAUGCGAGGAACCUGAAUGUGAGAAAGUGACGAGGGGGCAAGUCGCAAUUUGUAGCCAGCUUCUUGCAAUCUCUACAGUACCGUUUCCUAGUAUAUCCGAUAACUAGAUACUCUACAGGGAUUGAAAACUGUCGAAUACCGUCGCGUUCUCUGUUCUAAAGCACGACAAAAACGUUACUUCUUCAGUGGUGGCGGUCUUAUAGCUUGCGGUACGAACAGCAUCACACACCACGGAUGUAAUGGUACACACAUGGGGAAACACCACGAUUUCGAUAUAACGGGGGGGAUAUAUAAUGAUACAUAGACGGGUCGGUUAGUCAUAAGAUUAUACGACACUGGGUAUUAGUUGUAACGUCGAUGGUAAAGAAAAAGAAAUUCCACACAGUACGUACACUUGUCGUUGCGUUCGACCUCUGCGUAUGGAUCGUUCCGAACAGAAAGUACGCCCAACGUAAUAUAUUGAGAAAAGGGAAGACAGUGUAAAUAUCAAAGGCAUCGAGCAGUCGAGAAAAGGAAGCUGUGUUUAACGUCAACGUCAUUGCUUGUGUACGAUGGGACGCGCGUAUCUCUCUUUUCUUAAUUCUUACUUCAUUCUCCUAAAUCACUCACCUUCACGCAACUGGCCGGAGGCUGUAGAGUUACGCGCGCGGAUACGACCGAUUCACUGAACCGAACGGAAUAAACAGUGGAGCAAAUGCGUUUCGGAGACGUCAGAGGUGCCGCGACGCCCAGCAAGAACGCGUACGCGAAUAGAAGAACUAUCACUAUCCACACGCACCACAACCCCCAGCAUAUCACUUGAGUAUAAGCCAGUUUACACGGAUGGAACUUUCGACAAACACACUCGGUGUCCUCGUUAAAUUCUCCUCGACGUAUCAGGGUUUUUGUCUGGAAACGAGGAUGCGGACCCCAUGCGAGCGAAGGAAAGUUUGAAGAGGCCAAGAGUAACCCCUUCUGUGUAUUCGAAGAUGUUCCACUCGGAUGUUCUUCCCCCACCUCUUGGUCCAGCAGCGUGCUAAACUGGCACUCUACUCGUCUCGCUACGGUCGACAGGAGAUGCUCAAUCAAUCCACGGAGGUACGCGCGAUGGAAGAGAUCGUGGAUCCACCGACGCGGAAAUGGUGUCGUCUACCCACACGCCAGCAGCGUUUUACCUAUGCUGGUGAUAACGAGGAUAGUAUAUGCAUAGAGUGCGUAGUAACGCGCUGUCACGAGGUACCGUUAGGUUAUAAGAGAUCCGUUGACCGCGCUUCUCUCUUUCCCCUGCUCGGACAGCUCUGAUCUAUUAAUAAAAGGCAACGCUGCGACUGAACCGAUCGUGCAGUUUCGUUUCGUAACACGCGACAAACGUAACUCUGCUAAUCUAACGUCUUUCUCACCUAUUCUACUCUAUCCAGCCAUUGGUUACGAGUCAUUGAACCUUUCAGAGAUGGUAACAACCAAUGUCCCUAUGUAAUAAGCAUGUACGGUCAGGUGCAACUUAGGGUUCUCUUAGUUGGAAGAAGGUAUCCUAAUGCUUGGAAGAUGGGAUCUACGCUUACUCUAAACCAAGAGAAUCCUGAGUGGACACAGAAGACAACUGCAGCGCCACCGAAUGACUUAUUAAUAACAGAACGUGUCCCAAGAGCGAAAGAAAAAAUGCAAUAUAUUUUAAGCGCCAAAGACGUUGGGCUGUCUAUGAAAUAUUUUUCUGAAAUACAAUUUUAAGGAUGAUAUCCGAAGAUGACUGCGACAACGUUGGAACACUGAUCUAACGAAAUUCGAUCCACCUACAUGCCUGCAGUACUGUGCGGUUUAUACUUUCCCGUCUAUCUAGCUUGGGUGAGUGGAAUUCGUGCUACCGUAUUAAGAGAGAA
Long non-coding RNA from Osmia lignaria (orchard mason bee), 2629 nucleotides. RefSeq lists it as uncharacterized. The record is from RefSeq and is a predicted model, not a curated record. Lineage: Eukaryota; Metazoa; Arthropoda; Insecta; Hymenoptera; Megachilidae.